Molecule: non-coding RNA, 148 nt
Filed under: Pan troglodytes (chimpanzee)
Lineage: Eukaryota; Metazoa; Chordata; Mammalia; Primates; Hominidae
Source: Rfam by way of RNAcentral
GCCGGGCGUGGUGGCUUACGCCUGUAGUCCCAGCUACUCGGGAGGCUGAGGCAGGAGAAUCGCUUGAACCCGGGAGACAGAGGUUGCAGUGAGCUGAGAUUAUGCCACUGCACUCCAGCCUGGGCAACAGAGUGAGACUCAGUCUCAA